This is a long non-coding RNA of Mauremys mutica (yellowpond turtle), 223 nucleotides long. RefSeq lists it as uncharacterized. NCBI's taxonomy places the organism in Eukaryota, Metazoa, Chordata, Testudines, Geoemydidae. The record is from RefSeq and is a predicted model, not a curated record. The transcript is spliced from 3 exons.
UCAGAGCAUCCUCUAUAACCUAAAGCUGACUUCUUCAAGGGAAAACCCAAGGUUUCUCAACCUGCUGUCCCUCGGAAUGCUCUUCCUGGGUUGAAAGAUCAAACUGAUUGAUGGAGGCAUCAUUUGCAAUCCUCUGUGUGUCUGUCUGAGGAAGGCAAGCUCAAGCAGUGUGCCUUGCACUUGAAGUUAAUGGAGAUAUUCUUGUUCCAAGAUUCCAGUAUGG